RNAcentral lists this ribosomal RNA (385 nucleotides) under uncultured bacterium. RNAcentral describes it as "bacterial SSU rRNA". It matches the Rfam family "Bacterial small subunit ribosomal RNA", at positions 30 to 417 of the family's 1533-position model. The record is from RNAcentral.
AUUGAACGCUGGCGGCAUGCUUUACACAUGCAAGUCGAACGGUAACAGGCCUUCGGGUGCUGACGAGUGGCGAACGGGUGAGUAAUGCAUCGGAACGUGCCCAAUCGUGGGGGAUAACGUAGCGAAAGUUACGCUAAUACCGCAUAUUCUGUGAGCAGGAAAGCAGGGGAUCGCAAGACCUUGCGCUGAUUGAGCGGCCGAUAUCAGAUUAGCUAGUUGGUGAGGUAAAGGCUCACCAAGGCGACGAUCUGUAGCGGGUCUGAGAGGAUGAUCCGCCACACUGGAACUGAGACACGGUCCAGACUCCUACGGGAGGCAGCAGUGGGGAAUUUUGGACAAUGGGCGCAAGCCUGAUCCAGCCAUGCCGCGUGAGUGAAGAAGGCCU